RNAcentral lists this ribosomal RNA (253 nucleotides) under uncultured bacterium. RNAcentral's name for it is "partial 16S ribosomal RNA". It matches the Rfam family "Bacterial small subunit ribosomal RNA", at positions 524 to 776 of the family's 1533-position model. The record is from RNAcentral.
UACGGAGGGUGCAAGCGUUAUCCGGAAUCACUGGGUUUAAAGGGUGCGUAGGCGGCUUGGUAAGUCAGGGGUGAAAGCCCGCAGCUUAACUGCGGAACUGCCUUUGAUACUGCCGAGCUUGAAAGAGGUUGAGGUCAGCGGAACGUGACAUGUAGCGGUGAAAUGCAUAGAUAUGUCACAGAACACCAAUUGCGAAGGCAGCUGGCUGGACCGACUUUGACGCUGAGGCACGAAAGCGUGGGGAGCGAACAGG